AGGGGUAUAGCUCAGUUGGUAGAGCGGCGGUCUCCAAAACCGCAGGUCGGGGGUUCGAGUCCCUCUGCCCCUGCCA
RNAcentral lists this transfer RNA (76 nucleotides) under Hyphomonas sp. Its description in RNAcentral is "tRNA-Trp". It matches the Rfam family "tRNA". Rfam says of the family: Transfer RNA (tRNA) molecules are approximately 80 nucleotides in length. Their secondary structure includes four short double-helical elements and three loops (D, anti-codon, and T loops). Lineage: Bacteria; Pseudomonadati; Pseudomonadota; Alphaproteobacteria; Hyphomonadales; Hyphomonadaceae. RNAcentral also lists the same sequence under 6 other names. The record is from RNAcentral.